UGUGGCUCAGUGGUAGGGUGCUUGUCUGACAUACACAAGGCUCUGGGUUCAAUCCCAGCA
Molecule: transfer RNA, 60 nt
Filed under: Cavia porcellus (domestic guinea pig)
Lineage: Eukaryota; Metazoa; Chordata; Mammalia; Rodentia; Caviidae
Rfam family: tRNA
About the family: Transfer RNA (tRNA) molecules are approximately 80 nucleotides in length. Their secondary structure includes four short double-helical elements and three loops (D, anti-codon, and T loops). Further hydrogen bonds mediate the characteristic L-shaped molecular structure. tRNAs have two regions of fundamental functional importance: the anti-codon, which is responsible for specific mRNA codon recognition, and the 3' end, to which the tRNAs corresponding amino acid is attached (by aminoacyl-tRNA synthetases). tRNAs cope with the degeneracy of the genetic code in two manners: having more than one tRNA (with a specific anti-codon) for a particular amino acid; and 'wobble' base-pairing, i.e. permitting non-standard base-pairing at the 3rd anti-codon position.
Source: Rfam by way of RNAcentral